This is a long non-coding RNA of Ornithodoros turicata, 2614 nucleotides long. RefSeq lists it as uncharacterized. NCBI's taxonomy places the organism in Eukaryota, Metazoa, Arthropoda, Arachnida, Ixodida, Argasidae. The record is from RefSeq and is a predicted model, not a curated record. The transcript is spliced from 3 exons.
ACGUAUAUUGAUCAUAUACUUGCUGUGAUUUACUUGUUCAGGAUUUGUAGUCUCGUUGUCAGUAAAAGCCCUGUACUAAAUACCUAUAGGUAUGCCCUGUAUGUUAUGUGGUCCGUAACUUCUCCUUUCACAACUGUAUUAGUGCAAGUGCUUCGUAUCUGGAAUCGGCUUACCUUUGACUCUGGUGUCCAUCUGCGUGCAUUUAAAUAGCGCAAAGCCAAGCAACAUCGAACGAGUAACUGAAUUGCAGACCGGGCAUCCAAUGCUCCCCAUGGUUGUACACAUACCGACGUGGGCCCUCGAAUUUGCGUCGAAAUAAUGGUUGGCAGUAUUAUUGUGCUUGCGUAUUGCCGGUAGAAAUCUGAUUGAACCACGGGAGUUCAAACCAUGACAAUGAGGAUAAUGAAGCUCCCGGAUUCCGUACUCACGAUUGGUGCUCGCCGAUUUCAGGUCCUUAUUUAUUAUUAUUAUAUUAUUAUUAUAUUACCGGCCACACAGAAAGGAAUCCACAAGGAUGGGCGAAGGUGUACGUGAAACGUCAUUCCAUUUCUCUGUACUAUGCACGAGGCUUUGUUGCAUAUUUUCAGAGUCCUCGAUGUCUUCAAUGUCCGGGAUGUCUGGGAUGGAUAUGGGCAUUUUUUUUCUCACUGAUCCUUAAUGGCGCAUAUAUGGGUUAACUGUACCUGCACUUAGCUAUAGUCGUGCGUGCGUUACAGCUAGAACGUAACGUGCGACCUCUUUUGGGAUGAGAGUCUCGCUUAUAGUUUCACUGUCACCGUCACUGUCACUCACUGUUUCAGAGUCCAGUCAGUCCCAAGGUCCGAUUGGAGAUACACCAGCAGGUAAACACAGUUACGGCCCGAGAAUUUAACGCAGGAAUUUCAAGAAGCAACGGCGACCAGAUUCGGAGGUUUGAACGUUGCUGAUAAUUGUACACUCUUAAAAAUGAACUUCACCACAUAGCAGGCUCCUAACCAACCAUCAUCCGGAAUGACAACGUUCUCGCCCCUCAUUUGUUGAAAACGGGAGGCGGAGCCAAUUUUGUGCCGGGCAUAAUGGCGAAGCAAUUCACAUCAGAGAGUCAUAAUGAUCGCAGAAAUUGAAUUUAAAAUACGCCGCAAAAAGCGACCGUGCGCAACGGUGGUGAAGAGCAGUACCAGCCUGCGAUCUGCCUGGAACCUCGCGCUGACGCUAUAAGGAGAACGCUCGCUGAUUGGUCUAGAGAAAUGUUGUCUCCUACUCCGCUGUCGUCUGCUACUCGGCUGUUCGGAGUUCUGAAAAAGCCGUUCUCCGCGCUCGGUAAUGAUUCGGCUGCUCCUUCUAUCCCCAAUUCUCCGGGAGUACUACUACCACAUAGUACCUGUCUCUCAUGUACUACCCUCCUUCAUGAACUUCUCAUCUGUGUACCAUUACUUAGCUGGUCUUCACUGGUGAAAAUGAGGAUAGAAGACGAAAUUAAACACACAAGCCUAGUUGUUCCUUCAAUUUUCUUGUUCAAAGUUUAGUAUGUAUCAACUCUUGUGACACUAUCUAGGAAAUGUUACGGGAAAAUCCUCUGUGGCUCUAAGAUAGUGGUCCACAUGGAACCUUCAUGUCCUUCGAAACAUCUACACACGGGGUGACGCAUUUUGCGUGCAGAAAGCUGGCAGUUUCAUCGAUUUCGGCACGACCAGGUUUGCCAAUAUGCUUAAUGCUUCGUCGGACGAGAAUAUCCGCCAUGUUACCGGCCCUUCGACGAACCGUUCAGUUGUCAUGGCCAAGAACCGAACCUGUUUCAAGAAUGGCUCAAGAGCUGUCCGCACAUCUUCACCGGUUGCACUGCUCAUUGUUUUCGAACACUUAGCACGUGCCCAGGCGUACAGCGCACACAUCAAAUCGUCCUCUGAAACGGUAAGUGUAUUCAUGCGCAAGAUAGUAUGAACGGUGUCUUCUGAUGCUUCUAUGAAGGCUUCAGACUCUAGAACGUCUUUCGUCUUCUCUUUGAUUAUUUCUUCGAUCUUGUCGUCGAAUCUGUUCUCGUGAAAGAGGGCCAGGUCUUCCUUCGCUUUGCAGACGUUCUUGGGGCUGAGUUCUUUGCCGAUGUAGUCGGUGCACAUGGUUACGAGGUGUUGUCAGGUGUAAGAACUCACCUGAGGAAGUACUCGAAUCCAACAGCAUCCAAGUCAACGACGCGUACCCUACCCUGUUCUGCGAGGUCACCGUAGAACAUGGCUUCGAAGGCCUCGCUGUUCAUUGCCAAGAUCAAUUUGUGUGCUUCGAAGAACUUGGUUUCACCACUCUCGCCCUCUUCAGGACCUACUAUGAACUCGACGUCCACGAUACAGGAGGAACAAGGGGAUGACCCUUCUCAAAAUGGCCGCCAGCGUUUCGUGCCGCUACUUUUACACGGAACGCGUAAGUAAUUCAGCUCCAGACUCUCGACACCACAAGACACCACAUCUGAGCACGGAGUGCAUUCAGCAAUCGGUCAGGAGCCAGCAAAAGUGACAGGAAAUUGUUGAAGGAAACAUCACGCUCAACAAGACGGCUAACGUCUGCUUCGACACAGAUUGCUUUUGUGUGGUCAACAAAUGUUUAUGGCGAGUAAUAAAGCGCUUCCCGGAAAUUUUUAAAU